RNAcentral lists this transfer RNA (75 nucleotides) under Sediminimonas qiaohouensis. Its description in RNAcentral is "tRNA-Val". It matches the Rfam family "tRNA". From Rfam's summary of the family: Transfer RNA (tRNA) molecules are approximately 80 nucleotides in length. The record is from RNAcentral. Lineage: Bacteria; Pseudomonadati; Pseudomonadota; Alphaproteobacteria; Rhodobacterales; Roseobacteraceae. RNAcentral also lists the same sequence under 18 other names.
GGGUGAUUAGCUCAGUGGUAGAGCGCUUCGUUCACAUCGAAGAUGUCAGAAGUUCGAAUCUUCUAUCACCCACCA